CCAAUAGCGUAUAUUAAAGUUGUUGCAGUUAAAAAGCUCGUAGUUGAAUUUUGGAUUCUACCAGUCGGUCCAUCUUUUGAUGAGUACUGGUUGUGUGGGGUCUAUCCGCCUGGUAAUACGUAAUGUCCUUUAUUGGAUGUUGCGGGUAGUCAGGACCUUUACCUUGAAAAAAUUAGAGUGUUUAAAGCAGGCUUAGGCCGGAAUACAUUAGCAUGGAAUAAUAGAAUAGGACGAAGUUGUUUUAUUUUGUUGGUUUCUAGGACAACCGUAAUGAUUAAUAGGGAUAGUUGGGGGCAUUAGUAUUCAAUUGUCAGAGGUGAAAUUCUUGGAUUUAUUGAAGACUAACUAUUGCGAAAGCAUUUGCCAAGGAUGUUUUCAUUAAUCAAGAACGAAAGUUAGGGGAUCGAAGACGAUCAGAUACCGUCGUAGUCUUAACCAUAAACUAUGCCGACUAGGGAUCGGGCGAUGUUGUUUCAAUGACUCGCUCGGCACCUUAUG
Molecule: unclassified non-coding RNA, 498 nt
Filed under: uncultured Archaeospora
Lineage: Eukaryota; Fungi; Glomeromycota; Glomeromycetes; Archaeosporales; Archaeosporaceae
Description: SSU rRNA
Rfam family: Eukaryotic small subunit ribosomal RNA
Source: RNAcentral